RNAcentral lists this ribosomal RNA (199 nucleotides) under uncultured bacterium. Its description in RNAcentral is "partial 16S ribosomal RNA". It matches the Rfam family "Bacterial small subunit ribosomal RNA", at positions 328 to 539 of the family's 1533-position model. The record is from RNAcentral.
ACGCUCGACACCUACAGGAGGCAGCAGUUGGGAAUAUUGGACAAUGGAGGAAACUCUGAUCCAGUGACGCCGCGUGAAGGAAGAAGGUCUUCGGAUUGUAAACUUAUUUUGUCAGGGAAGAAAAAUGACUGUACCUGAAGAAAAAGCACCGGCUAACUACGUGCCAGCAGCCGCGGUAAUCUGAGCGGGCUGGCAAGGC